CCUACGGGAGGCUGUAGUGGGGAAUAUUGGACAAUGGGGGGAACCCUGAUCCAGCCAUGCCGCGUGUGUGAAGAAGGCCCUCGGGUUGUAAAGCACUUUCAGUGAGGAAGAACGCCUGGUGGUUAAUACCCAUCAGGAAAGACAUCACUCACAGAAGAAGCACCGGCUAACUCCGUGCCAGCAGCCGCGGUAAUACGGAGGGUGCGAGCGUUAAUCGGAAUUACUGGGCGUAAAGCGCGCGUAGGUGGCUUGAUAAGCCGGUUGUGAAAGCCCCGGGCUCAACCUGGGAACGGCAUCCGGAACUGUCAAGCUAGAGUGCAGGAGAGGAAGGUAGAAUUCCCGGUGUAGCGGUGAAAUGCGUAGAGAUCGGGAGGAAUACCAGUGGCGAAGGCGGCCUUCUGGACUGACACUGACACUGAGGUGCGAAAGCGUGGGUAGCAAACAGGAUUAGAUACCCGUGUAGUC
RNAcentral lists this ribosomal RNA (465 nucleotides) under Vreelandella stevensii. RNAcentral's name for it is "partial 16S ribosomal RNA". It matches the Rfam family "Bacterial small subunit ribosomal RNA", at positions 338 to 795 of the family's 1533-position model. Lineage: Bacteria; Pseudomonadati; Pseudomonadota; Gammaproteobacteria; Oceanospirillales; Halomonadaceae. The record is from RNAcentral.